Molecule: non-coding RNA, 29 nt
Filed under: Mus musculus (house mouse)
Lineage: Eukaryota; Metazoa; Chordata; Mammalia; Rodentia; Muridae
Source: RNAcentral
UAAUUUUGCGCCUGGAAAAGUUCCAUCUC